AUACAUGCAAGUCGAACGCGUCUCCGUUAAUGAUUUUAGGUGCUUGCACUUGAAAGAUUUAACAUUGAGACGAGUGGCGAACUGGUGAGUAACACGUGGGUAACCUGCCCUUGAAGUAGGGGAUAACACUUGGAAACAGGUGCUAAUACCGUAUAACAACCAAAACCACCUGGUUUUGGUUUAAAAGACGGCUUCGGCUGUCACUUUAGGAUGGACCCGCGGCGUAUUAGCUUGUUGGUAAGGUAACGGCCUACCAAGGCGAUGAUACGUAGCCGACCUGAGAGGGUAAUCGGCCACAUUGGGACUGAGACACGGCCCAAACUCCUACGGGAGGCAGCAGUAGGGAAUCUUCCACAAUGGACGAAAGUCUGAUGGAGCAACGCCGCGUGAGUGAUGAAGGGUUUCGGCUCGUAAAACUCUGUUGUUGGAGAAGAACAGGUGUCAGAGUAACUGUUGACAUCUUGACGGUAUCCAACCAGAAAGCCACGGCUAACUACGUGCCAGCAGCCGCGGUAAUACGUAGGUGGCAAGCGUUGUCCGGAUUUAUUGGGCGUAAAGCGAGCGCAGGCGGUUUUUUAGGUCUGAUGUGAAAGCCUUCGGCUUAACCGGAGAAGUGCAUCGGAAACCGGGAGACUUGAGUGCAGAAGAGGACAGUGGAACUCCAUGUGUAGCGGUGAAAUGCGUAGAUAUAUGGAAGAACACCAGUGGCGAAGGCGGCUGUCUGGUCUGUAACUGACGCUGAGGCUCGAAAGCAUGG
This 757-nucleotide ribosomal RNA is filed under the name Lentilactobacillus buchneri. Its description in RNAcentral is "bacterial SSU rRNA". It matches the Rfam family "Bacterial small subunit ribosomal RNA", at positions 51 to 764 of the family's 1533-position model. The record is from RNAcentral. Lineage: Bacteria; Bacillati; Bacillota; Bacilli; Lactobacillales; Lactobacillaceae.